This 1281-nucleotide ribosomal RNA is filed under the name Lasiorhynchus barbicornis. RNAcentral's name for it is "partial large subunit ribosomal RNA". It matches the Rfam family "Eukaryotic large subunit ribosomal RNA", at positions 83 to 1077 of the family's 3401-position model. Lineage: Eukaryota; Metazoa; Arthropoda; Insecta; Coleoptera; Brentidae. The record is from RNAcentral.
GUAGCUGCGAGCGAACAGGGAAGAGCCCAGCACCGAAUCCCGCGGCCGACACCGGGCGCCGGGAAAUGUGGUGUUCGGGAGGGUCCAUUAUCCCGAGAUCAUGCGGCGCGUCCAAGUCCAUCUUGAACGGGGCCACAGCCCAUAGAGGGUGCCAGGCCCGUAGAGACCGUCGCUGAUUGCGGGAGGAUCUCUCCUCAGAGUCGGGUUGCUUGAGAGUGCAGCCCUAAGAGGGUGGUAAACUCCAUCUAAGGCUAAAUAUGACCACGAGACCGAUAGCGAACAAGUACCGUGAGGGAAAGUUGAAAAGCACUUUGAAGAGAGAGUUCAAGAGUACGUGAAACCGUUUAGGGGUAAACCUGAGAAACCCGAAAGGUCGAAGGGAGAAAUUCAUUCGCGUUUCGCUGUCGGCGUGAGACGGUCGAGCGACGGGAAACGUUCGCGUUUCCCGCGCCUUUCGUUUUUCGAUCCGACAUCGAACGCGUGCACUUUUCUCCUGGUAGGACGUCGCGAUCCGUUGAGUGUCGGUCUACGGCCCGCGGUGGAGCCUUUUCGGACGGUUCGCGCCGUUGUUCCGUUAAGACCCGCGGUGACCUGGCCGACUCGCUCGACGGUAUACGAAUGGCUCGGGGCCGCUUUUAGAGCGUCCGGCUCGUGGCAAGCGCGUCGGAAGUGUCGGAUAUCGGACCUGGUGCCGGUACCGAUCUCCGAUGACUGUUGGCCUCGAAGAUCUCGGACAGACCCUAGUCUCUCCUUUUCGGAGGGGAGAUUCGGCCGAUCCGCGACGCUAUAGCUUUGGGUACUUUCAGGACCCGUCUUGAAACACGGACCAAGGAGUCUAGCAUGUGCGCGAGUCAUUGGGAAUCUAUAAACCUAAAGGCGUAAUGAAAGUAAAGGUCCGUCUAGCACGGACCGAGGGAGGAUGUUCGGUUCGUCCUUAAAAACGGCCGAGUCGCACUCCCGGGGCGUCUCGUUCUCAUCGCGAGAAGAGGCGCACCAAGAGCGUACACGCUGGGACCCGAAAGAUGGUGAACUAUGCCUGGUCAGGACGAAGUCAGGGGAAACCCUGAUGGAGGUCCGUAGCGAUUCUGACGUGCAAAUCGAUCGUCGGAACUGGGUAUAGGGGCGAAAGACUAAUCGAACCAUCUAGUAGCUGGUUCCCUCCGAAGUUUCCCUCAGGAUAGCUGGCGCUCGUAUUGUACGAGUUUCAUCCGGUAAAGCGAAUGAUUAGAGGCAUUGGGGUCGAAACGACCUCAACCUAUUCUCAAACUUUAAAUGGGUGAG